UGGAGGCAGCAGUGGGGAAUAUUGCUCAAUGGGCGAAAGCCUGAAGCAGCAACGCCGCGUGUGCGAUGAAGGCCUUCGGGUCGUAAAGCACUUUUCUGCGAGAUGAGAAAGGACAGUAUCGUAGGAAUAAGUCUCGGCUAACUACGUGCCAGCAGCCGCGGUAAAACGUAGGAGGCAAGCGUUAUCCGGAUUCACUGGGCGUAAAGCGCGUGCAGGUGGCGCGGUAAGUUGGGUGUGAAAUCUCCCGGCUCAACUGGGAGAGGUCAUUCAAUACUACCGUGCUUGAGAGCAGAAGAGGAAGAUGGAAUUCCCGGUGUAGUGGUGAAAUGCGUAGAUAUCGGGAGGAACACCAGUGGCGAAGGCGAUCUUCUGGUCUGUUUCUGACACUCAUACGCGACAGCUAGGGUAGUAAACGGGAUUAGAUACCCCGGUAGG
This 435-nucleotide ribosomal RNA is filed under the name uncultured bacterium. RNAcentral describes it as "bacterial SSU rRNA". It matches the Rfam family "Bacterial small subunit ribosomal RNA", at positions 343 to 794 of the family's 1533-position model. The record is from RNAcentral.